CCUGCCCGGUGACUUACGUUCAACGGCCGCGGUAUCCUAACCGUGCAAAGGUAGCAUAAUAACUUGCCCAUUAAUUGUGGGCUAGAAUGAAGGGAUUAACGAAAUAAAAACUGUCUCUAUAAGUGACUUAAAAAUUAAUCUCUAACUGAAGAUUGUUAGAUUAUAUCGAAGGACAAGAAGACCCUAUAGAGCUUUACCUAGUAAAAAUUAAAAUUUUUUUUUCAGGUUUGGUUGGGGCGACCGGGGAAGUAAUCAAUCAUCCCUAUUUAAAAGAUAUAUAAGUCUCAUUAUUGACCCUUUAUAAAGAUCACAAGACCAAGCUACCUUAGGGAUAACAGGCUAAUCUCACUAAAGAGUCCUUAUCAAUAGUGGGGUUUGGCACCUCGAUGUUGGCUUAGGGAAUCUAUGUGGCGCAAAAGUCACAUAAAGAUGGUUUGUUCAACCAAUAAUCCCUACAUGAGCUGAGUUCAGACCGGCGUGAGCCAGGUUAGUUUCUAUCCUCGAUAUUAUAACCUAUUUAUAGUACGAAAGGACCUAAAUAAGGAUAAUAAUUAUAACCAAAGAACAAAUAUAAUAUAAGUUAAAAAGACUAGUACAUAUAAUA
RNAcentral lists this ribosomal RNA (604 nucleotides) under Scherotheca boccaverghju. Its description in RNAcentral is "Scherotheca sp. b DFM-2022 partial large subunit ribosomal RNA". It matches the Rfam family "Bacterial large subunit ribosomal RNA", at positions 1858 to 2825 of the family's 2925-position model. Lineage: Eukaryota; Metazoa; Annelida; Clitellata; Crassiclitellata; Lumbricidae. The record is from RNAcentral.